This 926-nucleotide ribosomal RNA is filed under the name uncultured bacterium. RNAcentral describes it as "bacterial SSU rRNA". It matches the Rfam family "Bacterial small subunit ribosomal RNA", at positions 56 to 980 of the family's 1533-position model. The record is from RNAcentral.
UGCAGUCGAGCGGUAACAGAUCUAGCUUGCUGGAUGCUGACGAGCGGCGGACGGGUGAGUAAUGCAUAGGAAUCUGCCCGAUAGUGGGGGAUAACCUGGGGAAACCCAGGCUAAUACCGCAUACGUCCUACGGGAGAAAGGGGGCUCCGGCUCCCGCUAUGGGAUGAGCCUAUGUCGGAUUAGCUAGUUGGUGAGGUAACGGCUCACCAAGGCCACGAUCCGUAGCUGGUCUGAGAGGAUGAUCAGCCACAUCGGGACUGAGACACGGCCCGAACUCCUACGGGAGGCAGCAGUGGGGAAUAUUGGACAAUGGGGGAAACCCUGAUCCAGCCAUGCCGCGUGUGUGAAGAAGGCCCUCGGGUUGUAAAGCACUUUCAGCGAGGAAGAACGCCUAGCGGUUAAUACCCGCUAGGAAAGACAUCACUCGCAGAAGAAGCACCGGCUAACUCCGUGCCAGCAGCCGCGGUAAUACGGAGGGUGCAAGCGUUAAUCGGAAUUACUGGGCGUAAAGCGCGCGUAGGUGGCUUGAUAAGCCGGUUGUGAAAGCCCCGGGCUCAACCUGGGAACGGCAUCCGGAACUGUCAAGCUAGAGUGCAGGAGAGGAAGGUAGAAUUCCCGGUGUAGCGGUGAAAUGCGUAGAGAUCGGGAGGAAUACCAGUGGCGAAGGCGGCCUUCUGGACUGACACUGACACUGAGGUGCGAAAGCGUGGGUAGCAAACAGGAUUAGAUACCCUGGUAGUCCACGCCGUAAACGAUGUCGACCAGCCGUUGGGUGCCUAGCGCACUUUGUGGCGAAGUUAACGCGAUAAGUCGACCGCCUGGGGAGUACGGCCGCAAGGUUAAAACUCAAAUGAAUUGACGGGGGCCCGCACAAGCGGUGGAGCAUGUGGUUUAAUUCGAUGCAACGCGAAGAACCUUACCUACUC